This 253-nucleotide ribosomal RNA is filed under the name uncultured bacterium. RNAcentral describes it as "partial 16S ribosomal RNA". It matches the Rfam family "Bacterial small subunit ribosomal RNA", at positions 524 to 776 of the family's 1533-position model. The record is from RNAcentral.
UACGGAGGGUGCAAGCGUUAUCCGGAUUUACUGGGUUUAAAGGGUGCGUAGGAGGGCAGGUAAGUCAGUGGUGAAAUCUCCAAGCUUAACUUGGAAACUGCCGUUGAUACUAUCUGUCUUGAAUAUUGUGGAGGUGAGCGGAAUAUGUCAUGUAGCGGUGAAAUGCUUAGAUAUGACAUAGAACACCAAUUGCGAAGGCAGCUCGCUACACAUAUAUUGACUCUGAGGCACGAAAGCGUGGGGAUCAAACAGG